UGCAUAAUUGUGUGCUUAUGUAAUGCCUG
This 29-nucleotide non-coding RNA is filed under the name Rattus norvegicus (Norway rat). The record is from RNAcentral. Lineage: Eukaryota; Metazoa; Chordata; Mammalia; Rodentia; Muridae.